GCCAGCGUGGCUUAGAUGCAGAGCGUCGCUCUCGUAAAGCGAAGGUCGCAGGUUCGAUUCCUGCGGUCGGCA
Non-coding RNA from Pristionchus pacificus, 72 nucleotides. NCBI's taxonomy places the organism in Eukaryota, Metazoa, Nematoda, Chromadorea, Rhabditida, Neodiplogasteridae. The record is from Rfam.